RNAcentral lists this ribosomal RNA (130 nucleotides) under Solenanthus turkestanicus. RNAcentral's name for it is "5.8S ribosomal RNA". The stretch from base 1 to 89 matches the Rfam family "5.8S ribosomal RNA", at positions 68 to 154 of the family's 154-position model. Rfam says of the family: 5.8S ribosomal RNA (5.8S rRNA) is a component of the large subunit of the eukaryotic ribosome. Lineage: Eukaryota; Viridiplantae; Streptophyta; Magnoliopsida; Boraginales; Boraginaceae. The record is from RNAcentral.
UGAAUUGCAGAAUCCCGUGAACCAUCGAGUCUUUGAACGCAAGUUGCGCCUGAAGCCAUUAGGCUAAGGGCACGUCUGCCUGGGCGUCACGCAUCGCGUCACCCCUCCCCCAAUUCUGGUGGUAGGGGUG